ACGCUCGACACCUACGUGAGGCAGCAGUGGGGAAUAUUGCACAAUGGGGGAAACCCUGAUGCAGCGACGCCGCGUGGAGGAAGAAGGUCUUCGGAUUGUAAACUCCUGUUGUUGGGGAAAAAGNGGAUGGUACCCAACAAGGAAGUGACGGCUAACUACGUGGCAGCAGCCGCGGUAAUCUGAGCGGGCUGGCAAGGC
This 198-nucleotide ribosomal RNA is filed under the name uncultured bacterium. Its description in RNAcentral is "partial 16S ribosomal RNA". It matches the Rfam family "Bacterial small subunit ribosomal RNA", at positions 328 to 539 of the family's 1533-position model. The record is from RNAcentral.